This 77-nucleotide transfer RNA is filed under the name Clavibacter michiganensis. Its description in RNAcentral is "tRNA-Arg". The record is from RNAcentral. Lineage: Bacteria; Bacillati; Actinomycetota; Actinomycetes; Micrococcales; Microbacteriaceae.
GGCCUCGAUGGACGACCGUGGACGCCCCGGCUCUGACUACGGAUCAGAAGGUUGGGGGUUCGAAUCCCUCCGGGCGC